Molecule: unclassified non-coding RNA, 801 nt
Filed under: Brassica rapa (field mustard)
Lineage: Eukaryota; Viridiplantae; Streptophyta; Magnoliopsida; Brassicales; Brassicaceae
Description: partial noncoding RNA
Source: RNAcentral
GGCCAUUACGGCCGGGGGUGUUACAGAGGUGGUAUCAGAGCAUGGUUUCGUCCAUGCUUCCGGAACUCAUGAUUUAAUCGGUUUUAAAUAUUUAUCGAGUCAAAAUGAGUCACAAAAGGCAUUAGGGAAACCGGUCACGUCCAGCGAUAGAAUUUGUGGUUUUAGGAAAUUAGGAUUGAGAUAGUGGAAUCUAGAACUGUUAGGUUGCUUGGGUAGAACUGUUAGGUUGCUGGUUAGCAUUGCGGUUAGGUUGCAUUGUUAGUAUUUGCUGGGUUAGUAGAUUAUUGGGAUUAGUUGUCUACUAACUUGCAUGUUAAGUGUUCUUUUGAGUUGCAGCGAGUAAGUAUGUUUGUUGAUCGGAACUUUAAGGGAUGAAACCUUAAAGUGGAGGGAGUUCGAGGCCAAACCCAAACCCGAAGCGAAAGAGGAGAGACAGGUUCAGAGAACUGGACAGUGGUAUGGACUGGACAGAUGGGAGUAAACAAAACUUCGUUGGGAAAGGACUUCAUCAGUAGUUGGGAAGACGAAGAUCGAGAAAGGAUUUGAGGAAUCUGGACAAGAUAGUAUCAUGGACAAUGAGGGUGUUAUGGAAGAGUAAAAGAAAGAGGAUGACUCAGUGAUCAUUCCAGUGAUAGAGAUAUGAAGACGAUUGUGGAGACCUUGAAGAGGACACUCAAGGAACCGUGGUGGACAGAGUAAAGAGGUUAUGGAGACGACUGGAGAGUGUUGUGAAGACGAGCAAUUUCGCAACUAAGAAUUCGAGGACGAAUUCUAUUAAGGGGGGGAGAAUGUAGAAACCCG